Long non-coding RNA from Phacochoerus africanus (Common warthog), 621 nucleotides. RefSeq lists it as uncharacterized. NCBI's taxonomy places the organism in Eukaryota, Metazoa, Chordata, Mammalia, Artiodactyla, Suidae. The transcript has 4 exons. The record is from RefSeq and is a predicted model, not a curated record.
UAACCCUCUAAGUACAGUAACGUAAACCAGAAGAAUGUGAUUCUGAUGACACUCUUAUCCCAUCUUGUGAACAAACGUUUGGGAGAAGCGAAAGAACCCCAUGGGAUAAAAGCAAAAAGCAUCUCUGAGAGCCCCGGUACAGACGGCAGGUGUGAUGUCAACCCGGCCUGGGUACCAAGAGCCUCUGCCCUGCCUGCUGACUCCAUCAUGCGUUUCCCGAGGCCUCCUUCUCCAUCAUGAAAAUGUAUCAGUUAAGAAAGUGCCUGCAUCUGGAGUCCUCUGAGCCCCCCACAGAUACAAGUCGAGGGCCGACUUUCCUGUUUGUCCUUUUCUUCCCAUGGAAACAGAAUCCACAGUGGAGCAAAGAUGGUCCUGGAUGCCUUAAGAGGGAAACGUCGAACACUACAUAAAUAAAGGUUGACUCGGUGCAGAAGCGUGCAGUGCCAUGUCCCUGCAUCUUCAUGGAGAAAUGUAUUCUUUCCACAUGAGAAGCAACACCGUCCAUGGGAAGCCCAGCAAAGCCCAGCACAUGGCCAAUACUCUCUUCAUUCAAUCCCUUUCCCUAACUCCCUUGCUUUCACUAAUCAAGAUCUUUAAGAAAUACGUUGAGUUAAACCUUCA